This 466-nucleotide ribosomal RNA is filed under the name Vreelandella stevensii. RNAcentral's name for it is "partial 16S ribosomal RNA". It matches the Rfam family "Bacterial small subunit ribosomal RNA", at positions 337 to 795 of the family's 1533-position model. Lineage: Bacteria; Pseudomonadati; Pseudomonadota; Gammaproteobacteria; Oceanospirillales; Halomonadaceae. The record is from RNAcentral.
GCCUACGGGAGGCAGCAGUGGGGAAUAUUGGACAAUGGGGGGAACCCUGAUCCAGCCAUGCCGCGUGUGUGAAGAAGGCCCUCGGGUUGUAAAGCACUUUCAGUGAGGAAGAACGCCUGGUGGUUAAUACCCAUCAGGAAAGACAUCACUCACAGAAGAAGCACCGGCUAACUCCGUGCCAGCAGCCGCGGUAAUACGGAGGGUGCGAGCGUUAAUCGGAAUUACUGGGCGUAAAGCGCGCGUAGGUGGCUUGAUAAGCCGGUUGUGAAAGCCCCGGGCUCAACCUGGGAACGGCAUCCGGAACUGUCAAGCUAGAGUGCAGGAGAGGAAGGUAGAAUUCCCGGUGUAGCGGUGAAAUGCGUAGAGAUCGGGAGGAAUACCAGUGGCGAAGGCGGCCUUCUGGACUGACACUGACACUGAGGUGCGAAAGCGUGGGUAGCAAACAGGAUUAGAUACCCGUGUAGUC